GUAGGUGGCAAGCGUUGUCCGGGAAUUAUUGGGGCGUAAAGCGCGCGCAGGCGGUCCUUUAAGUCUGAUGUGAAAGCCCACGGGCUCAACCGUGGGAGGGUCAUUGGAAACUGGGGGACUUGAGUACAGAAGAGAAGAGUGGAAUUCCACGUGUAGCGGUGAAAUGCGUAGAGAUGUGGAGGAACACCAGUGGCGAAGGCGACUCUUUGGUCUGUAACUGACGCUGAGGCGCGAAAGCGUGGGGAGCAAACAGGAUUAGAUACCCUGGUAGUCCACGCUGUAAACGAUGAGUGCUAAGUGUUAGAGGGUUUCCGCCCUUUAGUGCUGCAGCUAACGCAUUAAGCACUCCGCCUGGGGAGUACGGCCGCAAAGGCUG
Molecule: ribosomal RNA, 376 nt
Filed under: uncultured organism
Description: partial 16S ribosomal RNA
Rfam family: Bacterial small subunit ribosomal RNA
Source: RNAcentral